AUUGAACGCUGGCGGCAGGCCUAACACAUGCAAGUCGAGCGGAUGAAGGGAGCUUGCUCCUGGAUUCAGCGGCGGACGGGUGAGUAAUGCCUAGGAAUCUGCCUGGUAGUGGGGGAUAACGUCCGGAAACGGGUGCUAAUACCGCAUACGUCCUGAGGGAGAAAGUGGGGGAUCUUCGGACCUCACGCUAUCAGAUGAGCCUAGGUCGGAUUAGCUAGUUGGUGGGGUAAAGGCCUACCAAGGCGACGAUCCGUAACUGGUCUGAGAGGAUGAUCAGUCAAACUGGAACUGAGACACGGUCCAGACUCCUACGGGAGGCAGCAGUGGGGAAUAUUGGACAAGGGGCGAAAGCCUGAUCCAGCCAUGCCGCGUGGGUGAAGAAGGUCUUCGGAUUGUAAAGCACUUUAAGUUGGGAGGAAGGGCAGUAAGUUAAUACCUUGCUGUUUUGACGUGACCAACAGAAUAAACACCGGCUAACUUCGU
RNAcentral lists this ribosomal RNA (483 nucleotides) under uncultured bacterium. RNAcentral describes it as "partial 16S ribosomal RNA". It matches the Rfam family "Bacterial small subunit ribosomal RNA", at positions 30 to 506 of the family's 1533-position model. The record is from RNAcentral.